This is a long non-coding RNA of Esox lucius (northern pike), 1012 nucleotides long. Lineage: Eukaryota; Metazoa; Chordata; Actinopteri; Esociformes; Esocidae. The record is from Ensembl.
CAAGAAGUUAGAUUGCUGCCCAAAUAAAUGCUUCACAAAGUUCAAGCAACAGACAUGUCUACUGUUCAGAUAAGACUGUGUGAAUCAGGCCUUCAUGGUUGAUGUUCUACAAAUAAACCACUACUGAAGAACACAAAUAAGAAGGAAGUGACUUGCUUGGGCCAAGAAACAUGAGAAAUGGACAUUAGACCAGGUGAAAUCUGUCAUUGGGUAAGAGUCCAAAUUUGAUAUUUUGAAUUCCAUCCGUUGUGUCUGUGUGAGACACAGAGUGGGAUGAACAGAUGAUCUCCAUAUGUGUGGUUCCCACCGUGAAGCAUGGAGGAGGUGUGACGGUAUGGAAGAGGUGGUGUGACGGUAUGGAAGAGGUGGUGUGACGGUAUGGAAGAGGUGGUGUGACGGUAUGGAAGAGGUGGUGUGACGGUAUGGAAGAGGUGGUGUGACGGUAUGGAGGAGGUGGUGUGACGGUAUGGAGGAGGUGGUGUGACGUUAUGGUGGAGGUGGUGUGACGGUAUGGUGGAGGUGGUGACGGUAUGGUGGAGGUGGUGUGACGGUAUGGAGGUGGUGUGACGGUAUGGAGGAGGUGGUGUGACGGUAUGUGGGUAUUUUGCUGGUAACACUGAUUUAUUUAGAACUCAAGGCACACUCAACCAGCAUGGCUACCACAGUAUUCUGCAAUGAUACGCCAUCCCCUCUGGUUUGCUCUUAAUGGGACUAUCAUUUCAGUUUUUGAACAGGACAAUGACACAAAACAACUCCAGGGUGUGCAAAGGCUAUUUGACCAAGGACAGUGAUGGAGUGCUGCAUCAGAUGACCUGGCCUCCACAAUCAUCUGACCUCAAACCAAUUGAGAUAGUUUUUAAUUAGUUGGACAGCAGAGUGAAGGAAAAGCUACCAACAUGUCUUCAGCAUAUUUGGAAACUCCUUCAAAACUGCUGGAAACUAAUCCAGGAGACUACCUGGUCGAGAGAAUGCCAAAAGUGGGCAAAACUGUCCAAAGUGUGUCAAAAGUGUG